Molecule: ribosomal RNA, 288 nt
Filed under: uncultured bacterium
Lineage: Bacteria
Description: partial 16S ribosomal RNA
Rfam family: Bacterial small subunit ribosomal RNA
Source: RNAcentral
GUGGAUUAGAUACCCUAGUAGUCCUAGCAGUAAACGAUGGAUACUAGGUGUUGGGGGAAAUUGACCCCCUCAGUGCCGCAGUCAACACAAUAAGUAUCCCGCCUGGGGAGUACGGUCGCAAGAUUAAAACUCAAAGGAAUUGACGGGGGCCCGCACAAGCAGCGGAGCGUGUGGUUUAAUUCGACGCAACGCGAAGAACCUUACCAGGGCUUGACAUGCUAUGUUCAGUGGUGGAAACAUCAUGGCCGCAAGGCGAAUAGCACAGAUGCUGCACGGCUGUCGUCAGCU